AUGCAGUUGGAGAUGGAUGCGGUCGAGCAAAACCGCACCUGGGAGCUCGCUGACCUCCCCCGUGGUCAUCACGCAAUCACCCUUAAGUGGGUGUUCAAGCUGAAGAGGGAUGGAGCCGGCGCCAUCAUCAAGCACAAGGCUCGCCUGGUGGCCCGAGGCUUCUUGCAGCAGGAAGGAGUCGACUUCGACGACGCCUUCGCUCCCGUGGCACGGAUGGAGUCCGUGCGACUUCUCCUUGCGCUGGCUGCCCAGGAGGGCUGGCGUGUCCAUCACAUGGAUGUCAAGUCGGCAUUCCUCAACGGUGACUUGAAGGAGGAAGUCUACGUGCAUCAGCCACCGGGUUUUGCGAUUCCCGGCCAGGAGGGCAAGGUACUCCGCCUGCGCAAGGCCCUCUAUGGCCUACGGCAGGCACCUAGGGCGUGGAACGCCAAGCUGGACUCCACGCUAAAGAAGAUGGGCUUCGAGCAAAGCCCGCAUGAAGCCGCUGUCUACCGACGGGGCAGUGGAGGAAAUGCCCUGCUGGUGGGCGUCUAUGUUGACGACUUGGUGAUCACCGGCACCAAAGAUGCAGAGGUAGCGGCAUUCAAGGAAGACAUGAAGGCCACCUUCCAGAUGAGUGAUCUGGGGCUCCUCUCCUUCUAUCUAGGGAUUGAGGUGCACCAGGAUCACUCCGGGAUCGCGCUUCGAUAG
This 690-nucleotide ribosomal RNA is filed under the name Triticum aestivum (bread wheat). RNAcentral describes it as "partial small subunit ribosomal RNA". The record is from RNAcentral. Lineage: Eukaryota; Viridiplantae; Streptophyta; Magnoliopsida; Poales; Poaceae.